CACCUGAUUUGAAGAUUAUUAGAUGAGUUUUGAUAUUGGAAUUGAAGGAAAUUAAGCUUAAGUGCUAAAUUUUGAGGUAUUGAUGGAAUUGGUGGUGUUUUAUGUUCAGAUCUUUGGAGAGGAAUGUACUGAUUGUGGACAAGCUUAGCAGGGUUUUCCAGCGACCUCUCGCUGUCGUGGACUGAGCGCUAGAGGUGGGUUAAUUAUCGGAUUCUCCUCCUAAGUGUAUGAAUAGUCAACAUGUAUAUUUUCAGCCUUUGUAUAUCAUGUUUUUAGCUCGAAUUCAUCGAUUAGCAUGUUAAAUGAAAUCUGAAUUUGGAGCAUAUUGUAGUGAGUUAGAUAAAUUAUACAUGUUGGACUUGACAUUGACUUAGGAGAAAACCGACGAUUCUACACUGUCAUAUGUUAAAACUACCAGAUUUAGCUCUAGAAGCCAUAGUUUGGUUAUAUCGCCGCAGUUUAUGGGCGGUGGAUACCCAGGAUAGUGUAAAAUAUUUUUACGCUCGUGCUGAGAUGCCGAACUUAUUUUUACAGCAAUGUUUUAGGCUGUUUCGGAUUGUCGUAUGCCGUUGUGGUUGACGGUGGACCCAGAUUACUGUUUUUGCAUCAGAUUGUGCCGAGGGCACUUGAGUUGGAUUCUUAGACCCUGUUACUUGACUAUAGCUUGUGAGAGCCUGGUUGAGCUCGACAAAGACACGCUUUCAUACUCGGUUGGGUAACGCCCACGAGUGCCAUUCUGGAGUCGGGCUUUGUGCAUUUGCGUUGGUGUCGUUGUGUCCUGCUUGGACUUACUCUCCACGGAUGGCUUAGCGUGGAGGUAGCUGUAUAGCUUCGACAGGUGGGACGGGUGUAUUCACAGUCCCUAGUGAGAUUGGGUUAGAAAUUGCAUUAUUCUACAAAUAGUUAGUGUUGGAUCAUGAUAGUAUAGUGGCAUAUAACUGUAGAUUGUUCCAGUCCCUUUACUAUCAUUUGUGCAUACUUUCUGUAGACUUGGUGGGUGAGCCGAUGAGAUUGAGGGCGGUAUCCACUGAGGACUACUUCUUUGCAGUAGUUCUCACGCCCAGUUGUUACCCCUCUUUUUGCAGAGCCUUCUUCUUCGGCUGCUACUGUCGCGGAUAUCGAUCGUGGAAAGGGAGUCGCAAGCUAGAUCCCUUCCCGUUUUGCUAUUG
This 1169-nucleotide long non-coding RNA is filed under the name Ananas comosus (pineapple). Its description in RNAcentral is "long non-coding RNA (ACOM_LNC014589)". The record is from RNAcentral. Lineage: Eukaryota; Viridiplantae; Streptophyta; Magnoliopsida; Poales; Bromeliaceae.